Molecule: ribosomal RNA, 374 nt
Filed under: Spintharus sp. DR 00787259
Lineage: Eukaryota; Metazoa; Arthropoda; Arachnida; Araneae; Theridiidae
Description: partial 16S ribosomal RNA
Source: RNAcentral
CUGCUCAAUGAAAAAAUUUAAAUAGCUGCAAAUUUUGUACUAAGGUAGCAUAAUCAUUUGUUUUUUAAUUUAAAACUAGAAUGAAAGGUAAAACAAAUCAUCUCUUUAUUUUAUAUUUUAUUUUAACUUAUAUUAAAUAUAAAAAUAUAUUUUUUUAAAAAAAAGACGACAAGACCCUAUUGAACUUUACUUUAGUUUAGCUGGGGAAGCUAAAUAAUAAAUAUUUUAUUAUAAAUUUUAUAAAUGACCCAAAACAUUUGAUUAAUUAAUCAAGUUACCAUAGGGAUAACAGCGCAAUAAAUUUUUAAAGUUCUUAUAUAAAAAUUUGCUUACGACCUCGAUGUUGAAUUAGAAAUCUUUAUUAAGCAAAAAUA